Molecule: ribosomal RNA, 504 nt
Filed under: uncultured bacterium
Lineage: Bacteria
Description: bacterial SSU rRNA
Rfam family: Bacterial small subunit ribosomal RNA
Source: RNAcentral
AUCAUGGCUCAGGAUGAACGCUGGCGGCGUGCCUAACACAUGCAAGUCGAACGGAAAUCAGGCGCUUCGGAGACUUCGGUCAAUGUUGUCUGGUUUAGUGGCGGACGGGUGAGUAACGCGUGGAUAACCUGCCUCAUACAGGGGGAUAACAGUUAGAAAUGACUGCUAAUACCGCAUAAGCGCACGGGACCGCAUGAUCCUGUGUGAAAAACUCCGGUGGUAUGAGAUGGAUCCGCGUCUGAUUAGCUAGUUGGCGGGGUAACAGCCCACCAAGGCGACGAUCAGUAGCCGGCCUGAGAGGGUGAACGGCCACAUUGGGACUGAGACACGGCCCAAACUCCUACGGGAGGCAGCAGUGGGGGAUAUUGCACAAUGGGGGAAACCCUGAUGCAGCGAACCGCCGCGUGAGUGAAGAAGUAUUUCGGUAUGUAAAGCUCUAUCAGCAGGGAAGAUAAUGACGGUACCUGACUAAGAAGCACCGGCUAAAUACGUGCCAGCAGCCGC